This 561-nucleotide ribosomal RNA is filed under the name uncultured bacterium. RNAcentral describes it as "bacterial SSU rRNA". It matches the Rfam family "Bacterial small subunit ribosomal RNA", at positions 338 to 917 of the family's 1533-position model. The record is from RNAcentral.
CCUACGGGAGGCAGCAGUGGGGAAUCUUAGACAAUGGGGGCAACCCUGAUCUAGCCAUGCCGCGUGAGUGAUGAAGGCCUUAGGGUCGUAAAGCUCUUUCGCCUGUGAUGAUAAUGACAGUAGCAGGUAAAGAAACCCCGGCUAACUCCGUGCCAGCAGCCGCGGUAAUACGGAGGGGGUUAGCGUUGUUCGGAAUUACUGGGCGUAAAGCGCGCGUAGGCGGAUUAGAAAGUUGGGGGUGAAAUCCCGGGGCUCAACCCCGGAACUGCCUCCAAAACUGCUAGUCUAGAGUUCGAGAGAGGUGAGUGGAAUUCCGAGUGUAGAGGUGAAAUUCGUAGAUAUUCGGAGGAACACCAGUGGCGAAGGCGGCUCACUGGCUCGAUACUGACGCUGAGGUGCGAAAGUGUGGGGAGCAAACAGGAUUAGAUACCCUGGUAGUCCACACCGUAAACGAUGAAUGCCAGUCGUCGGAUAGUAUACUAUUCGGUGACACACCUAACGGAUUAAGCAUUCCGCCUGGGGAGUACGGUCGCAAGAUUAAAACUUAAAGGAAUUGACGGA